This 838-nucleotide ribosomal RNA is filed under the name uncultured archaeon. Its description in RNAcentral is "bacterial SSU rRNA". It matches the Rfam family "Archaeal small subunit ribosomal RNA", at positions 21 to 859 of the family's 1478-position model. The record is from RNAcentral.
AGGUUACUGCUAUCGGUGUUCGCCUAAGCCAUGCGAGUCAUAUGUUCGUAAGAACAUGGCGUACUGCUCAGUAACACGUGGAUAACCUGCCCUUGGGUCCGGCAUAACCCCGGGAAACUGGGGAUAAUUCCGGAUAACGCACAUAUGCUGGAAUGCUUUUUGCGUAAAAUGGAUUCGUCUGCCCAAGGAUGGGUCUGCGGCCUAUCAGGUAGUAGUGGGUGUAAUGUACCUACUAGCCUACGACGGGUACGGGUUGUGAGAGCAAGAGCCCGGAGAUGGAUUCUGAGACAUGAAUCCAGGCCCUACGGGGCGCAGCAGGCGCGAAAACUUUACAAUGCGGGAAACCGUGAUAAGGGGACACCGAGUGCCAGCAUCCUAUGCUGGCUGUCCGGGUGUGUAAAAUACACCUGUUAGCAAGGGCCGGGCAAGACCGGUGCCAGCCGCCGCGGUAACACCGGCGGCCCGAGUGGUGAUCGUGAUUAUUGGGUCUAAAGGGUCCGUAGCCGGUUUGGUCAGUCCCCCGGGAAAUCUGACAGCUUAACUGUUAGGCUUUCGGAGGAUACUGCCAGACUUGGAACCGGGAGAGGUAAGAGGUACUACAGGGGUAGGAGUGAAAUCUUGUAAUCCCUGUGGGACCACCUGUGGCGAAGGCGUCUUACCAGAACGGGUUCGACGGUGAGGGACGAAAGCUGGGGGCACGAACCGGAUUAGAUACCCGGGUAGUCCCAGCCGUAAACGAUGCUCGCUAGGUGUCAGGCAUGGCGCGACCGUGUCUGGUGCCGCAGGGAAGCCGUGAAGCGAGCCACCUGGGAAGCACGGCCGCAAGGCUGAAACUUAA